AGCGUACACGGUGGAUGCCCUGGCAGUCAGAGGCGAUGAAGGACGUGCUAAUCUGCGAAAAGCGCCGGCGAGGUGAUAUGAACCCUUGACCCGGCGAUGUCCGAAUGGGGAAACCCAGUGCAAUCCGUUGCACUAUCGUUAACUGAAUACAUAGGUUAACGAGGCGAACCGGGGGAACUGAAACAUCUAAGUACCCCGAGGAAAAGAAAUCAACCGAGAUUCCCCCAGUAGCGGCGAGCGAACGGGGAGCAGCCCGGAGUCUGAAUCAGCUUGUGUGUUAGUGGAACGGUCUGGAAAGUCCGACGGUACAGGGUGAUAGUCCCGUACACGAAAGCACACAUGCUGUGAACUCGAAGAGUAGGGCGGGACACGUGGUAUCCUGUCUGAAUAUGGGGGGACCAUCCUCCAAGGCUAAAUACUCCUGACUGACCGAUAGUGAACCAGUACCGUGAGGGAAAGGCGAAAAGAACCCCGGCGAGGGGAGUGAAAAAGAACCUGAAACCGUGUACGUACAAGCAGUGGGAGCCUCUUUAUGGGGUGACUGCGUACCUUUUGUAUAAUGGGUCAGCGACUUAUAUUCUGUAGCAAGGUUAACCGUAUAGGGGAGCCGAAGGGAAACCGAGUCUUAACUGGGCGUUAAGUUGCAGGGUAUAGACCCGAAACCCGGUGAUCUAGCCAUGGGCAGGUUGAAGGUUGGGUAACACUAACUGGAGGACCGAACCGACUAAUGUUGAAAAAUUAGCGGAUGACCUGUGGCUGGGGGUGAAAGGCCAAUCAAACCGGGAGAUAGCUGGUUCUCCCCGAAAGCUAUUUAGGUAGCGCCUCGUGAACUCAUCUUCGGGGGUAGAGCACUGUUUCGGCUAGGGGGCCAUCCCGGCUUACCAACCCGAUGCAAACUACGAAUACCGAAGAAUGUUAUCACGGGAGACACACGGCGGGUGCUAACGUCCGUCGUGAAGAGGGAAACAACCCAGACCGCCAGCUAAGGUCCCAAAGUCAUGGUUAAGUGGGAAACGAUGUGGGAAGGCACAGACAGCCAGGAUGUUGGCUUAGAAGCAGCCAUCAUUUAAAGAAAGCGUAAUAGCUCACUGGUCGAGUCGGCCUGCGCGGAAGAUGUAACGGGGCUAAACCAUGCACCGAAGCUGCGGCAGCGACACUAUGUGUUGUUGGGUAGGGGAGCGUUCUGUAAGCCGUUGAAGGUGUGCUGUGAGGCAUGCUGGAGGUAUCAGAAGUGCGAAUGCUGACAUAAGUAACGAUAAAGCGGGUGAAAAGCCCGCUCGCCGGAAGACCAAGGGUUCCUGUCCAACGUUAAUCGGGGCAGGGUGAGUCGACCCCUAAGGCGAGGCCGAAAGGCGUAGUCGAUGGGAAACAGGUUAAUAUUCCUGUACUUGGUGUUACUGCGAAGGGGGGACGGAGAAGGCUAUGUCAGCCGGGCGACGGUUGUCCCGGUUUAAGCAUGUAGGCGGAGGUUCCAGGUAAAUCCGGUACCUUUUAACGCUGAGGUGUGAUGACGAGGCACUACGGUGCUGAAGUGAUAAAUGCCCUGCUUCCAGGAAAAGCCUCUAAGCAUCAGGUAACAUCAAAUCGUACCCCAAACCGACACAGGUGGUCAGGUAGAGAAUACCAAGGCGCUUGAGAGAACUCGGGUGAAGGAACUAGGCAAAAUGGUGCCGUAACUUCGGGAGAAGGCACGCUGAUGUGUAGGUGAAGCCCCUGCGGGCGGAGCUGAAAUCAGUCGAAGAUACCAGCUGGCUGCAACUGUUUAUUAAAAACACAGCACUGUGCAAACACGAAAGUGGACGUAUACGGUGUGACGCCUGCCCGGUGCCGGAAGGUUAAUUGAUGGGGUUAGCGGCAACGCGAAGCUCUUGAUCGAAGCCCCGGUAAACGGCGGCCGUAACUAUAACGGUCCUAAGGUAGCGAAAUUCCUUGUCGGGUAAGUUCCGACCUGCACGAAUGGCGUAAUGAUGGCCAGGCUGUCUCCACCCGAGACUCAGUGAAAUUGAACUCGCUGUGAAGAUGCAGUGUACCCGCGGCAAGACGGAAAGACCCCGUGAACCUUUACUAUAGCUUGACACUGAACACUGGUCCUUGAUGUGUAGGAUAGGUGGGAGGCUUUGAAGCGUGGACGCCAGUCUGCGUGGAGCCGACCUUGAAAUACCACCCUUUAAUGGCUGGUGUUCUAACGUAGACCCGUAAUCCGGGUUGCGGACAGUGUCUGGUGGGUAGUUUGACUGGGGCGGUCUCCUCCCAAAGAGUAACGGAGGAGCACGAAGGUUGGCUAAUCCUGGUCGGACAUCAGGAGGUUAGUGCAAUGGCAUAAGCCAGCUUGACUGCGAGCGUGACGGCGCGAGCAGGUGCGAAAGCAGGUCAUAGUGAUCCGGUGGUUCUGAAUGGAAGGGCCAUCGCUCAACGGAUAAAAGGUACUCCGGGGAUAACAGGCUGAUACCGCCCAAGAGUUCAUAUCGACGGCGGUGUUUGGCACCUCGAUGUCGGCUCAUCACAUCCUGGGGCUGAAGUAGGUCCCAAGGGUAUGGCUGUUCGCCAUUUAAAGUGGUACGCGAGCUGGGUUUAGAACGUCGUGAGACAGUUCGGUCCCUAUCUGCCGUGGGCGCUGGAGAAUUGAGGGGGGCUGCUCCUAGUACGAGAGGACCGGAGUGGACGCAUCACUGGUGUUCGGGUUGUCAUGCCAAUGGCACUGCCCGGUAGCUAAAUGCGGAAGAGAUAAGUGCUGAAAGCAUCUAAGCACGAAACUUGCCCCGAGAUGAGUUCU
RNAcentral lists this ribosomal RNA (2773 nucleotides) under Enterobacter hormaechei. RNAcentral's name for it is "bacterial LSU rRNA". It matches the Rfam family "Bacterial large subunit ribosomal RNA". Lineage: Bacteria; Pseudomonadati; Pseudomonadota; Gammaproteobacteria; Enterobacterales; Enterobacteriaceae. The record is from RNAcentral.